AGCUUUCAUCACUUGAUGAAUCACUUUCUCUUUCCCAAGUAACAUAAAAUCUUAUAGACUUGCUAGAUCUCUUUUGAUAACCUUUCUCAUUUUCUUUCUUAAUAUUAGAAUACUCUGGCUUAUAAUGAUCUGUUUUCCCAUAAUUGUAGCAUGAACUUCUAAUCCUGCCUUUCUUAUUCUCAUAUUCUUUUGAGGAGUUUGACAAUGUUCUAGAUUUACUAUGGUUCUUUUCGGAGUACUUAUUUCCUUGUUCC
RNAcentral lists this long non-coding RNA (254 nucleotides) under Lathyrus oleraceus (garden pea). RNAcentral describes it as "Pisum sativum (pea) long non-coding RNA (PSAT_LNC042037)". Lineage: Eukaryota; Viridiplantae; Streptophyta; Magnoliopsida; Fabales; Fabaceae. The record is from RNAcentral.